RNAcentral lists this ribosomal RNA (305 nucleotides) under uncultured bacterium. Its description in RNAcentral is "bacterial SSU rRNA". It matches the Rfam family "Bacterial small subunit ribosomal RNA", at positions 333 to 639 of the family's 1533-position model. The record is from RNAcentral.
UGACCUACGGGAGCAGCAGUGAGGAAUAUUGGUCAAUGGCCGAGAGGCUGAACCAGCCAAGUCGCGUGAGGGAUGACGGCCCUACGGGUUGUAAACCUCUUUUGUCGGGGAGCAAGACCCGCCACGAGUGGCGGAGCGAGAGUACCCGAAGAAAAAGCAUCGGCUAACUCCGUGCCAGCAGCCGCGGUAAUACGGAGGAUGCGAGCGUUAUCCGGAUUUAUUGGGUUUAAAGGGUGCGUAGGCGGAUUUUUAAGUCAGCGGUAAAAUGUCCGGGCUCAACCCGGGCCGGCCGUUGAAACUGGGGG